Molecule: ribosomal RNA, 411 nt
Filed under: uncultured microorganism
Description: bacterial SSU rRNA
Rfam family: Archaeal small subunit ribosomal RNA
Source: RNAcentral
CAGCCGCCGCGGUAAUACCAACCCCGCGAGUGGUCGGGACGUUUAUUGGGCCUAAAGCGUCCGUAGCCGGCCCGGUAAGUCCCUCCUUAAAGCCCACGGCUCUACCGUGGGAGCGGAGGGAUACUGCCGGGCUAGGGGGCGGGAGAGGCCGGGGGUACUCCUGGGGUAGGGGCGAAAUCCUAUAAUCCCAGGAGGACCACCAGUGGCGAAGGCGCCCGGCUAGCACGCGCCCGACGGUGAGGGACGAAAGCUGGGGGAGCAAAGGGGAUUAGAUACCCCCGUAGUCCCAGCUGUAAACGAUGCAGGCUAGGUGUUAGGCGGGCUUCGUGCCCGCCGAGUGCCGUAGGGAAGCCGUUAAGCCUGCCGCCUGGGGAGUACGGCCGCAAGGCUGAAGCUUAAAGGAAUUGCGGG